GACUCCUACGGGAGGCAGCAGUGGGGAAUAUUGGAUAAUGGGCGCAAGCCUGAUCCAGUAAUGCCGCGUGAGUGAUGAAGGCCUUCGGGUCGUAAAGCUCUUUUACCAGGGAUGAUAAUGACAGUACCUGGAGAAUAAGCCCCNGCUAACUCCGUNCCAGCAGCCGCGGUAAUA
Molecule: ribosomal RNA, 174 nt
Filed under: uncultured bacterium
Lineage: Bacteria
Description: partial 16S ribosomal RNA
Rfam family: Bacterial small subunit ribosomal RNA
Source: RNAcentral